RNAcentral lists this ribosomal RNA (336 nucleotides) under uncultured low G+C Gram-positive bacterium 414ev. RNAcentral describes it as "bacterial SSU rRNA". It matches the Rfam family "Bacterial small subunit ribosomal RNA", at positions 9 to 327 of the family's 1533-position model. The record is from RNAcentral. Lineage: Bacteria; Bacillati; Bacillota.
GAGUUUGAUCCUGGCUCAGGACGAACGCUGGCGGUAUGCUUAACACAUGCAAGUCGAACGAGACAAGAUGGAAGGAUCCUUCGGGUGACGGAAAUCUUAGAAAGUGGCGAACGGGUGAGUAACGCGUGGGUAACCUGCCCUAUGGAAAGGAAUAGCCUCGGGAAACUGGGAGUAAUGCCUUAUAAUACAUGUUUGUCGCAUGGCAGAUAUAUUAAACGCUCCGGUGCCAUAGGAUGGACCCGCGUCCCAUUAGCUAGUUGGUGAGAUAACAGCCCACCAAGGCGACGAUGGGUAACCGGUCUGAGAGGGCGAACGGUCACACUGGAACUGAGACAC